RNAcentral lists this ribosomal RNA (497 nucleotides) under uncultured bacterium. Its description in RNAcentral is "partial 16S ribosomal RNA". It matches the Rfam family "Bacterial small subunit ribosomal RNA", at positions 28 to 507 of the family's 1533-position model. The record is from RNAcentral.
GAUGAACGCUGGCGGCGUGCCUAAUACAUGCAAGUCGAGCGAACAGAUGAGGAGCUUGCUCCUCUGACGUUAGCGGCGGACGGGUGAGUAACACGUGGAUAACCUACCUAUAAGACUGGGAUAACUUCGGGAAGCCGGAGCUAAUACCGGAUAAUAUAUUGAACCGCAUGGUUCAAUAGUGAAAGACGGUUUUGCUGUCACUUAUAGAUGGAUCCGCGCCGCAUUAGCUAGUUGGUAAGGUAACGGCUUACCAAGGCAACGAUGCGUAGCCGACCCGAGAGGGUGAUCGGCCACACUGGAACUGAGACACGGUCCAGACUCCUACGGGAGGCAGCAGUAGGGAAUCUUCCGCAAUGGGCGAAAGCCUGACGGAGCAACGCCGCGUGAGUGAUGAAGGUCUUCGGAUCGUAAAACUCUGUUAUUAGGGAAGAACAAAUGUGUAAGUAACUAUGCACGUCUUGACGGUACCUAAUCAGAAAGCCACGGCUAACUACGUG